This 266-nucleotide unclassified non-coding RNA is filed under the name Hevea brasiliensis (rubber tree). Lineage: Eukaryota; Viridiplantae; Streptophyta; Magnoliopsida; Malpighiales; Euphorbiaceae. The record is from RNAcentral.
CGCUCCUUGGUUGAGAAUAAACCUUUGUCUAGAGACAGCAGUCUCACACAGGAUGAUAAGUAGCCAGCUUGAUCAUUUAGCAUCUUCUGACACUCAGCUAAAUUUGGCAGGACAUCAGCCAGUAACUCCUGCCAUCCUUCACCAGCAUAUAGUGCACAAACUUUCUCAUAUGACUUUGCAGCCAGAUCAAAGUUUCCAUGCCUGAAGCAAACUGCAGCUAUUUCACCAUCAAGGACCACUCCAUGUCUUUUCCACCAGGAAUGAUG